RNAcentral lists this ribosomal RNA (721 nucleotides) under uncultured bacterium. RNAcentral's name for it is "bacterial SSU rRNA". It matches the Rfam family "Bacterial small subunit ribosomal RNA", at positions 777 to 1500 of the family's 1533-position model. The record is from RNAcentral.
AUUAGAUACCCUGGGUAGUCCACGCCGUAAACGAUGGAUACUAGGUGUGGGGGGACUGACCCUCUCCGUGCCGCAGUUAACACAAUAAGUAUCCCACCUGGGGAGUACGGUCGCAAGACUGAAACUCAAAGGAAUUGACGGGUCCCCGCACAAGCAGUGGAUUAUGUGGAUUAAUUCGUCGCAACGCGAAGAACCUUACCAGGGCUUGACAUCCUGCUAACGAGGCGGAAACGCAUUAGGUGCCCUUCGGGGAAAGCAGAGACAGGUGGUGCAUGGUUGUCGUCAGCUCGUGUCGUGAGAUGUAGGGUUAAGUCCCCCAACGAGCGCAACCCUUAUUGUUAGUUGCUACGCAAGAGCACUCUAGCGAGACUGCCGUUGACAAAACGGAGGAAGGUGGGGACGACGUCAAAUCAUCAUGCCCCUUAUAUCCUGGGCUACACACGUAAUACAAUGGCACUUAACAAAGGGAAGCAAAGCCGCGAGGUGGAGCAAAUCCCCAAAAAGUGUCCCAGUUCGGACUGCAGUCUGCAACUCGACUGCACGAAGUCGGAAUUGCUAGUAAUCGCGGAUCAGCAUGCCGCGGUGAAUACGUUCCCGGGCCUUGUACACACCGCCCGUCACACCAUGAGAGUCGGGAACACCCGAAGUCCGUAGUCUAACCGCAAGGAGGACGCGGCCGAAGGUGGGCUUGAUAAUUGGGGUGAAGUCGUAACAAGGUAAC